Microcebus murinus (gray mouse lemur) is the source of this 1071-nucleotide non-coding RNA. The record is from RefSeq and is a predicted model, not a curated record. NCBI's taxonomy places the organism in Eukaryota, Metazoa, Chordata, Mammalia, Primates, Cheirogaleidae.
AUUCUUUUAACUUCGUCUCCUUUAUUUUCCUUACAGGGUUUCAGACAAAAUCAGAAAGAAGGAAGGUGCUCACAUUCCAAUUAAGGAGUAAUUCAUACAGUGUUCUUUAAUAGGUGCAGUUUUCUCCCAAGGAGAAUGGUAUUUGAUGUUUCCUUGUCGGACACUUGAUUGGGUGGCACAAUCAUCUGUACUUUUUCCCUCAUUGCAUGUGUUCCAUGCUUAAAUUACCAGCAAAGGGUUUUUAGGGCAUAAUCAGUUUGAGUAACUGAACAGUGGAAAUGUGAGCAGUUAAAAGAAACUCAAGGUGACAUAUGGUACAAAAAAGUCAAUCUGUCAAAAUUACAGUCGAGCACAUUUGUAUAUUGUAACUUUCUUAGUAUGUUAAGUUUUUUAUUAAUACCUUUAAAAUAAAUGAGAAAAUUUUUUAAACUUUAAAAGUUGAAUAUUUUUCCUUGGAAUACAUAGGAUAACGUAGUGUUGAGUCUGCCUAAAAAUGUAGAAAAAAACUGAUCAGGCUUAUUUGGGUAGAGUAGUAUUGUAAAGAUAGAACCAAUUGUAAAACAGCCUUACUGAUAAUCCAAGAUUAGGGAACAGGCUGGAAUGGUGGCUCACACCUGUAAUCUUAGCAUUCUGGGAGGCCAGGGCGGACGGAUCGUUCGAAAACAAGGUUAGGGAACAAAGGCAAAGACUGGGUCUAUACAGUCAGGAACCAAAGCCAUGUUAUGUUUGUUAGAAGUCAUCUCAUUCUUCUCUCUGUACUUAACCUUGUGUGUCUUUCUACUUCUCCCUCUUUCUCUUCUGACUUCUUCUAUGUCCGCAUCACAUACACUGCCUAACACAGUUGCCCCACCCAUUCUAUGUCAAGACCUUUCAGUUCCAUCUACCAUCUCCAUCUGAUUAUUGUUUCAGUUGAGUCUAAAGAUUGGUGUCCAUGCACCUAGGAUUCUCCCUAGGCCAUUUAGCUGUGAAGGAACAGGUUAAUACUAAGUGCUAUUCCAUCCAGAGGUGGUUUUUUUUUUGAGACAGAGUCUCACUCUGUUGCCUGGGCUAGAGUGCUGUGGCAUCAGCCUC